UUGAAAUGAUGAUAUUUUCUGUACAACAGAAAAAUUGUGGCUGUUGACUUGAGAACGAGCUUUUUAAUACUGAACAAC
Molecule: small nucleolar RNA, 78 nt
Filed under: Zootermopsis nevadensis
Lineage: Eukaryota; Metazoa; Arthropoda; Insecta; Blattodea; Termopsidae
Source: RNAcentral